AACGAACGCUGGCGGCAGGCUUAACACAUGCAAGUCGAGCGCAUCCUUCGGGGUGAGCGGCGGACGGGUGAGUAACGCGUGGGAACGUGCCCUCUUCUACGGAAUAGCCUCGGGAAACUGAGAGUAAUGCCGUAUACGCCCGCAAGGGGAAAGAUUUAUCGGAGGAGGAUCGGCCCGCGUUGGAUUAGGUAGUUGGUGGGGUAACGGCCUACCAAGCCGACGAUCCAUAGCUGGUUUGAGAGGAUGAUCAGCCACACUGGGACUGAGACACGGCCCAGACUCCUACGGGAGGCAGCAGUGGGGAAUCUUGGACAAUGGGGGCAACCCUGAUCCAGCCAUGCCGCGUGAUCGAUGAAGGCCUUAGGGUUGUAAAGAUCUUUCAGCUGGGAAGAUAAUGACGGUACCAGCAGAAGAAGCCCCGGCUAACUCUGUG
Molecule: ribosomal RNA, 433 nt
Filed under: uncultured bacterium
Lineage: Bacteria
Description: partial 16S ribosomal RNA
Rfam family: Bacterial small subunit ribosomal RNA
Source: RNAcentral